CGGGCACUGCGCUGUACGUGUCCAUAUCUGUAACCCCCGGGGCUAUACCAACCUCCAGGGAGCUGUCCCUGACCGGGAUCGUGGUCCCGGAUAUACGGCACCCACCUGACUUGUCAGGUUCCGGAGGGUACAACAGCGUCACGGCAGAGGCGGUCCCGCA
RNAcentral lists this non-coding RNA (160 nucleotides) under Eilatimonas milleporae. RNAcentral describes it as "bacterium MD2 6S / SsrS RNA". It matches the Rfam family "6S / SsrS RNA". Rfam says of the family: E. coli 6S RNA was the first non coding RNA to be sequenced, but its function was unknown until recently. It consists of 184 nucleotides that fold into an extended hairpin structure with a large single-stranded internal bulge. The 6S RNA specifically associates with RNA polymerase holoenzyme containing the sigma70 specificity factor. Lineage: Bacteria; Pseudomonadati; Pseudomonadota; Alphaproteobacteria; Kordiimonadales; Kordiimonadaceae. The record is from Rfam by way of RNAcentral.